CACGACCCAGCCCCACCGCGUCCCGACGGGAGAAUCUGGGAAGCCGGUGAGACUCCGGCACAGGCCCGCUGCGGUGACCCGGGACGCGUCGCGAGACGUGGACCCGGGAAGUCCGAAGACCGGCCUCGCGCCACUUUUUCCU
This 142-nucleotide non-coding RNA is filed under the name Marmoricola sp. Leaf446. RNAcentral also lists the same sequence under 1 other name. Lineage: Bacteria; Bacillati; Actinomycetota; Actinomycetes; Propionibacteriales; Nocardioidaceae. The record is from RNAcentral.